GGCUGAUAUGUUGAGACAACAAACGCUUCAUCAGUUACAUCGAAUAUUGACAAUCCGACAGGCAGCUCGAUGUUUCGUGGUAAUUGGAGAGUAUUAUGGAAGACUUCGAGCUCUUAGUUCCUUGUGGGUCUCUCGACCGAGAGAGAGCAGCUGCUUGAAUGAUGAAAAUUCAUGCCAAACAACAACAGAGCUACAAAUGAUUCAGAGUUCCCACACCCAUUUCCCAAACUUUUGAUCUGUUUCUUCAAAACCAAAUCCAUUUUGGGUUAUAUCUAUAUAUCAUCAUUUAGAAGAAAUAUAUAACUUUUAUUUUCUCUCUCCCUCUUGAUCCCUACCUUUUUACCAUAUUACCCUCUCAAUGUAAAUCAAUCCAAUGGGGA
RNAcentral lists this unclassified non-coding RNA (380 nucleotides) under Hevea brasiliensis (rubber tree). Lineage: Eukaryota; Viridiplantae; Streptophyta; Magnoliopsida; Malpighiales; Euphorbiaceae. The record is from RNAcentral.